Long non-coding RNA from Passer domesticus (house sparrow), 931 nucleotides. RefSeq lists it as uncharacterized. The transcript has 5 exons. The record is from RefSeq and is a predicted model, not a curated record. Lineage: Eukaryota; Metazoa; Chordata; Aves; Passeriformes; Passeridae.
GAAGGAAGGAAGGAAGGAAGGAAGGGAGGGAGGGAGGGAGGGAGGGCUGGAGGCUGGGCUCAUUCUUUGCUCUCCUUCCUGGUGGCCUCAGUGCAAACCACUUGCUUUGCCGUGAGCUCCCUUUAUCCAGAGAAACCCCUGGAGUGACUGAAAGAAAAUAGGACGCAUAAAAUAAGCAUACUAUUGAAAAAGGAAAUGCUGUCAAAUACAAAUACCUCAGCUCCUCUGAAAAGUGCAUUAAAAUGAAUAUCCCCUGGAAACUGAUGGUGGCAAAGCCCUUGUCACAUACAAUUCUCCUGGCUGUUUGAGGUCCAUUCUCUUCCCAAAGCUUAACCAGCUAGCAGCUCUUGGGGAUCCUGAGCCAGGAGGAGCUGGCACACAAGCCUUGUGCUACCCUUUUCAGUCUAUAAAACUGUCCUGCCAAAACUGAGCAAGGGAGGUGUAGAACACAAGGGAUACACAAAAUUCUUGGACACAAGAACUGAUUAAUAUGGACAGCAAGAAUAGUGAAGAGAAGAAGAAGAUAAGGAGGGCAGCAGUCUACAGAAAGGAGAAAAGGCCAUAAAAAGGGGAACAUACACUGGAGAAUAUGUCUCUUAAUGAACAGCUGGAGACUGAAGUAAAAUGUGAUAUUCAGGCAGAAGGUGAGUGUGACGCCAAGAAACUAGGGAGUAUUUCAGAGAGCUCAGGAACUGAGGCAAUGAUCCUUGUGGUGAAGUUUCAGAACAUGACAAACCAGAGGUCAAUAAAUACAUGGUAUUUACCUGCUGACACACCCAGCAAAGUUCACUGGGGGCAGCAAAGCAACCACCAGAAUAGGAUUGCUUAUAACCAGAAUUCAUUUGGGUAGGAAACACUAGAGGUAUCUCAUUUAAAACUGUGUGUACUUUGAAGGAGCACUGGAAAGGUGAAACUGACAUGUUGGCUACAG